UAUACACCUUCACAUGUCUAUAUGUGAGAGGGCAUGGUGUUUGUGUGUGGGGAUAGUUUGGUAGAGGUGCUUGUGAUGUUGGUGUGCAUGACACAAACAUGGGGUUCAAACCCCCAUGUCACUUUCUCAUUGUGCACAUGAACUCAUCCUAUGUAGUUGUUAUCUUAGAAGGGUACUUUAUGGAGUGCAUAUUCAGUUUUGUUGCAAGAUUGGUCUUUGAUUCCAUGGAAUAGGUGGAGCCCAAGGGCAUGAGUUUUUGUGUGUUAGUAGUAGGGGUUUUGCUCUACACCAUAGUGGUGUCAAUUACCUCUUGGUGUUAUAUG
This 323-nucleotide long non-coding RNA is filed under the name Hordeum vulgare. RNAcentral describes it as "long non-coding RNA (HVUL_LNC008716)". The record is from RNAcentral. Lineage: Eukaryota; Viridiplantae; Streptophyta; Magnoliopsida; Poales; Poaceae.